AUAUAUAUAUACACACACACACAAAUUCCAAUAACGGAGAAAGGUCACCCACACAGGAGCAUCUAGAGUAAAACCUUUGUAGUCUUUUCUUUAAGAGAAAAACAAGAGCGGCUGCAUAUUCAACCUAAGUCACCUCUCUGGAAGACUUUGCUGAUAGUGCUGCCCAGAAAAUGCAAAUUGGAACAAUAAUAUGCAGAGGGAAGGCCCUGCUGGAGAGCGCUAUGAUUCCUGCAGUAAAAUGAGAAUGUAAAAUCUAAGUCUCUGAGAAGAAUUGUACUGGAUCUUUGGGGAGGAGAAGGCCGUAUGGCUCUGUGAGAAAUGGCGGUGAGAAGAUUCCCCACGUGGGAUGAAGAUGGAGACCUGUGGAGGUCACAAGCCCAAGGAGAUGACUUGACUGUGUGAUACAUCCAAGGUGCUGGGGCUCUAGCAAUGGAAGUACCAACCUUGCCAAAAAUGCAAACACCCAAAACUUGGAACAUAAACUAACUAAAAAAAUAUUGGCUACCAGGGGAGGGAAACUGCUUCCAUACCAUUUUGAAAUGAACUCAGAACCUCUGUGUCAACAGUUCCAAGUUGGAAUUAAAACAAUGUGAUGUCAUAUCCCACAAGCUAGGAAAUUGUGCAUCUUCUGAAAAUGAUUUAUAAGGAAUAAAUGGAUACUUUUUGAGAGUUGAAUGUUUGAACUAAGAUUCAGACAGGCUAGACUUAUUUCCCAUCCAGCUUCUCCUAAAGUCUUCCUUGAUGUAUUAUAGGACAUCACUGACACAAAGUUCUGCAUUCGAAUUUAGUCAAAUUACUCAUUAGAGAUUUAUGUGCAUCUGAGUUCCUACUUGUAAAAUAGUGGUUCUCAACACUUAAUCCACAGGACGGUAGAGAGAGGAGAAAUAAUCAAUGUAAAGUAUGUGGUAAGUAGUGUUUGAGCAGUAAAUGUUUUUGUUCUUACACUUGUUAACCCUCUACUACCAUUAUAACUACCACGAAUAUGUCUACUAUAAUCAAAAUAGCAUUUUAUUCUCACAGCUUGACAUUCUCAAAAUUCUGAAAGCUUGUUGUGCACAUCAUUUAUCUGAAUGUUAUUCAAAAUUCUUCUGCACAGCAACUGGGCACCAAAUAAUAAACUUAUGAUCAUGAUUAUGACUGAAUUUAUUACUUACCCUGAUGGUUAUUUUUCCAAACCAUCUUGUAAAUAGCUACUAAGCAAAAACUUGGGAACUGGUUGUAGAAAAAGUAUCAUCUUGGGAGCGGUGCUCGUGUGGUGCUCAGGACUUACUCCUAGCUUUGCACU
Long non-coding RNA from Sorex araneus (European shrew), 1285 nucleotides. RefSeq lists it as uncharacterized. The record is from RefSeq and is a predicted model, not a curated record. The transcript has 3 exons. Lineage: Eukaryota; Metazoa; Chordata; Mammalia; Eulipotyphla; Soricidae.